This 261-nucleotide long non-coding RNA is filed under the name Mytilus galloprovincialis (Mediterranean mussel). The record is from RNAcentral. Lineage: Eukaryota; Metazoa; Mollusca; Bivalvia; Mytilida; Mytilidae.
CGUUUUAUUCCUUUCAUAUUCAAUACUUAUUUUUAUUCUUUUGAAUAUGUUUAAAUUCAUUCUACAUGUAGUGCUGUUAUUUAAGAAGACAUAUGAUUGAUUGAAUGUUGUUUCCUGACCGUCCAGUGACAAAUACUUUAUGCAUGCAAAUUUUAAUGAAAAGAUAUGUAGAGAAUGAUUUGCAAACAAGAAAUACGAAGUAGCACGCGUUGUCGUCAAGAUAGAACAACGGGAAGGCGGGUGACAAUUACAAAUAAUAAG